GACGAACGCUGGCGGCGUGCUUAACACAUGCAAGUCGAGCGGAAAGGCCACUUCGGUGGUACUCGAGCGGCGAACGGGUGAGUAACACGUGAGUAAUCUGCCCUUGGCUUUGGGAUAGCCACCGGAAACGGUGAUUAAUACCGGAUACGACCACUCCAGGCAUCUGGUGGUGGUGGAAAGUUUUUCGGCCAGGGAUGUGCUCGCGGCCUAUCAGCUUGAUGGUGAGGUAAUGGCUCACCAUGGCUUCGACGGGUAGCCGGCCUGAGAGGGUGACCGGUCACACUGGGACUGAGACACGGCCCAGACUACUACGGGAGGCAGCAGUGGGGAAUAUUGGACAAUGGGCGGAAGCCUGAUCCAGCAACGCCGCGUGAGGGAUGACGGCCUUCGGGUUGUAAACCUCUUUCGGUAGGGACGAAGCGCAAGUGACGGUACCUACUAAAGAAGCACCGGCCAACUACGU
RNAcentral lists this ribosomal RNA (463 nucleotides) under uncultured bacterium. Its description in RNAcentral is "partial 16S ribosomal RNA". It matches the Rfam family "Bacterial small subunit ribosomal RNA", at positions 28 to 506 of the family's 1533-position model. The record is from RNAcentral.